UUAAGCGACUAAGCGUACACGGUGGAUGCCCUGGCAGUCAGAGGCGAUGAAGGACGUGCUAAUCUGCGAUAAGCGUCGGUAAGGUGAUAUGAACCGUUAUAACCGGCGAUUUCCGAAUGGGGAAACCCAGUGUGUUUCGACACACUAUCAUUAACUGAAUCCAUAGGUUAAUGAGGCGAACCGGGGGAACUGAAACAUCUAAGUACCCCGAGGAAAAGAAAUCAACCGAGAUUCCCCCAGUAGCGGCGAGCGAACGGGGAGCAGCCCAGAGCCUGAAUCAGUGUGUGUGUUAGUGGAAGCGUCUGGAAAGGCGCGCGAUACAGGGUGACAGCCCCGUACACAAAAAUGCACAUGCUGUGAGCUCGAUGAGUAGGGCGGGACACGUGGUAUCCUGUCUGAAUAUGGGGGGACCAUCCUCCAAGGCUAAAUACUCCUGACUGACCGAUAGUGAACCAGUACCGUGAGGGAAAGGCGAAAAGAACCCCGGCGAGGGGAGUGAAAAAGAACCUGAAACCGUGUACGUACAAGCAGUGGGAGCACGCUUCGGCGUGUGACUGCGUACCUUUUGUAUAAUGGGUCAGCGACUUAUAUUCUGUAGCAAGGUUAACCGAAUAGGGGAGCCGAAGGGAAACCGAGUCUUAACUGGGCGUUAAGUUGCAGGGUAUAGACCCGAAACCCGGUGAUCUAGCCAUGGGCAGGUUGAAGGUUGGGUAACACUAACUGGAGGACCGAACCGACUAAUGUUGAAAAAUUAGCGGAUGACUUGUGGCUGGGGGUGAAAGGCCAAUCAAACCGGGAGAUAGCUGGUUCUCCCCGAAAGCUAUUUAGGUAGCGCCUCGUGAAUUCAUCUCCGGGGGUAGAGCACUGUUUCGGCAAGGGGGUCAUCCCGACUUACCAACCCGAUGCAAACUGCGAAUACCGGAGAAUGUUAUCACGGGAGACACACGGCGGGUGCUAACGUCCGUCGUGAAGAGGGAAACAACCCAGACCGCCAGCUAAGGUCCCAAAGUCAUGGUUAAGUGGGAAACGAUGUGGGAAGGCCCAGACAGCCAGGAUGUUGGCUUAGAAGCAGCCAUCAUUUAAAGAAAGCGUAAUAGCUCACUGGUCGAGUCGGCCUGCGCGGAAGAUGUAACGGGGCUAAACCAUGCACCGAAGCUGCGGCAGCGACGCUGAUGCGUUGUUGGGUAGGGGAGCGUUCUGUAAGCCUGUGAAGGUGUACUGUGAGGUAUGCUGGAGGUAUCAGAAGUGCGAAUGCUGACAUAAGUAACGAUAAAGCGGGUGAAAAGCCCGCUCGCCGGAAGACCAAGGGUUCCUGUCCAACGUUAAUCGGGGCAGGGUGAGUCGACCCCUAAGGCGAGGCCGAAAGGCGUAGUCGAUGGGAAACAGGUUAAUAUUCCUGUACUUGGUGUUACUGCGAAGGGGGGACGGAGAAGGCUAUGUUGGCCGGGCGACGGUUGUCCCGGUUUAAGCGUGUAGGCUGGUUUUCCAGGCAAAUCCGGAAAAUCAAGGCUGAGGCGUGAUGACGAGGCACUACGGUGCUGAAGCAACAAAUGCCCUGCUUCCAGGAAAAGCCUCUAAGCAUCAGGUAACAUCAAAUCGUACCCCAAACCGACACAGGUGGUCAGGUAGAGAAUACCAAGGCGCUUGAGAGAACUCGGGUGAAGGAACUAGGCAAAAUGGUGCCGUAACUUCGGGAGAAGGCACGCUGAUAUGUAGGUGAGGUCCCUCGCGGAUGGAGCUGAAAUCAGUCGAAGAUACCAGCUGGCUGCAACUGUUUAUUAAAAACACAGCACUGUGCAAACACGAAAGUGGACGUAUACGGUGUGACGCCUGCCCGGUGCCGGAAGGUUAAUUGAUGGGGUUAGCGGUAACGCGAAGCUCUUGAUCGAAGCCCCGGUAAACGGCGGCCGUAACUAUAACGGUCCUAAGGUAGCGAAAUUCCUUGUCGGGUAAGUUCCGACCUGCACGAAUGGCGUAAUGAUGGCCAGGCUGUCUCCACCCGAGACUCAGUGAAAUUGAACUCGCUGUGAAGAUGCAGUGUACCCGCGGCAAGACGGAAAGACCCCGUGAACCUUUACUAUAGCUUGACACUGAACAUUGAGCCUUGAUGUGUAGGAUAGGUGGGAGGCUUUGAAGUGUGGACGCCAGUCUGCAUGGAGCCGACCUUGAAAUACCACCCUUUAAUGUUUGAUGUUCUAACGUUGACCCGUAAUCCGGGUUGCGGACAGUGUCUGGUGGGUAGUUUGACUGGGGCGGUCUCCUCCUAAAGAGUAACGGAGGAGCACGAAGGUUGGCUAAUCCUGGUCGGACAUCAGGAGGUUAGUGCAAUGGCAUAAGCCAGCUUGACUGCGAGCGUGACGGCGCGAGCAGGUGCGAAAGCAGGUCAUAGUGAUCCGGUGGUUCUGAAUGGAAGGGCCAUCGCUCAACGGAUAAAAGGUACUCCGGGGAUAACAGGCUGAUACCGCCCAAGAGUUCAUAUCGACGGCGGUGUUUGGCACCUCGAUGUCGGCUCAUCACAUCCUGGGGCUGAAGUAGGUCCCAAGGGUAUGGCUGUUCGCCAUUUAAAGUGGUACGCGAGCUGGGUUUAGAACGUCGUGAGACAGUUCGGUCCCUAUCUGCCGUGGGCGCUGGAGAACUGAGGGGGGCUGCUCCUAGUACGAGAGGACCGGAGUGGACGCAUCACUGGUGUUCGGGUUGUCAUGCCAAUGGCACUGCCCGGUAGCUAAAUGCGGAAGAGAUAAGUGCUGAAAGCAUCUAAGCACGAAACUUGCCCCGAGAUGAGUUCUCCCUGACUCCUUGAGAGUCCUGAAGGAACGUUGAAGACGACGACGUUGAUAGGCCGGGUGUGUAAGCGCAGCGAUGCGUUGAGCUAACCGGUACUAAUGAACCGUGAGGCUUAACCUU
Molecule: ribosomal RNA, 2904 nt
Filed under: Escherichia coli
Lineage: Bacteria; Pseudomonadati; Pseudomonadota; Gammaproteobacteria; Enterobacterales; Enterobacteriaceae
Description: bacterial LSU rRNA
Rfam family: Bacterial large subunit ribosomal RNA
Source: RNAcentral